Molecule: ribosomal RNA, 482 nt
Filed under: uncultured bacterium
Lineage: Bacteria
Description: bacterial SSU rRNA
Rfam family: Bacterial small subunit ribosomal RNA
Source: RNAcentral
AACUAACGCUGGCGGCGUGCCUAACACAUGCAAGUCGUACGAGAAAGCCGGCUUCGGCUGGUGAGUAAAGUGGCGCACGGGUGAGUAACGCGUGGAUAAUCUGCCCUUAAGUGUGGAAUAACGUACCGAAAGGUGCGCUAAUACCGCAUAAUGCCUGGCAACACAAGUUGUCCGGCCAAAGAAGGCCUCUGUUUACAAGCUUUCGCUUCAGGAUGAGUCCGCGUACCAUUAGCUUGUUGGUGGGGUAAUGGCCUACCAAGGCUGCGAUGGUUAGCUGGUCUGAGAGGAUGAUCAGCCACACUGGAGCUGAGACACGGUCCAGACUCCUACGGGAGGCAGCAGUGAGGAAUAUUGCGCAAUGGGGGCAACCCUGACGCAGCAACGCCGCGUGAGUGAGGAAGGUUUUCGGACUGUAAAGCUCUGUCGAGCGGGAAGAAGUGUACCAUGGCUAAUAUCCAUGAUAUUUGACGGUACCGCUAGAA